AGGGGCGUCCGUUAAUUGGCAAACGACUGCUCUCCAAAAGCAGCCCUGCAGGUUCGAGUCCUGCCGCCCCUGCAA
This 75-nucleotide transfer RNA is filed under the name Candidatus Amesiibacteriota bacterium. Its description in RNAcentral is "Candidatus Amesbacteria bacterium (hot springs metagenome) tRNA-Trp". It matches the Rfam family "tRNA". Rfam says of the family: Transfer RNA (tRNA) molecules are approximately 80 nucleotides in length. Their secondary structure includes four short double-helical elements and three loops (D, anti-codon, and T loops). The record is from RNAcentral. Lineage: Bacteria; Candidatus Amesiibacteriota.